UACGGGAGGCAGCAGGGGGAAUAUUGCACAAUGGGCGCAAGCCUGAUGCAGCCAUGCCGCGUGUAUGAAGAAGGCCUUCGGGUUGUAAAGUACUUUUCAGUCGUGAGGAAGGUGUUAAGGUUAAUAACCUUAGCAAUUGACGUUAGCGACAGAAGAAGCACCGGCUAACUCCGUGCCAGCAGCCGCGGUAAUACGGAGGGUGCGAGCGUUAAUCGGAAUUACUGGGCGUAAAGGGCACGCAGGCGGUUAAUUAAGUUGGAUGUGAAAUCCCCGGGCUUAACCUGGGAAUGGCAUUCAAGACUGGUUAGCUAGAGUCUUGUAGAGGGGGUAGAAUUCCAUGUGUAGCGGUGAAAUGCGUAGAGAUGUGGAGGAAUACCGGUGGCGAAGGCGGCCCCUGGACAAAGGACUGACGCUCAUGUGCGAAAGCGUGGGGAGCAAACAGGGAUUAGAUACC
Molecule: ribosomal RNA, 454 nt
Filed under: uncultured bacterium
Lineage: Bacteria
Description: bacterial SSU rRNA
Rfam family: Bacterial small subunit ribosomal RNA
Source: RNAcentral